GAUGAAGAACGCAGCGAAAUGCGAUAACUAAUGUGAAUUGCAGAAUUCCGUGAAUCAUCGAGUCUUUGAACGCACAUUGCGCCCCCUGGUAUUCCGGGGGGCAUGCCUGUCGAGCGUCAUUGCUGCCCUCAAGCACGGCUUGUGUGUUGGGCCUCCGUCCUCCUCCCGGGGGACGGGCCCGAAAGGCAGCGGCGGCACCGCGUCCGGUCCUCGAGCGUAUGGGGCUUCGUCACCCGCUCUUGUAGGCCCGGCCGGCGCUUGCCGACACAUCAAUCUUCUUUCCAGGUUGACCUCGGAUCAGGUAGGGAUACCCGCUGAACUUAAGCAUAUCAAUAAGCGGAGGA
This 344-nucleotide unclassified non-coding RNA is filed under the name soil metagenome. Its description in RNAcentral is "partial contains 5.8S ribosomal RNA, internal transcribed spacer 2, and large subunit ribosomal RNA". The stretch from base 1 to 119 matches the Rfam family "5.8S ribosomal RNA", at positions 35 to 154 of the family's 154-position model. The record is from RNAcentral.